AGAGUUUGAUCCUGGCUCAGGACGAACGCUGGCGGCGUGCUUAACACAUGCAAGUCGAACGGAAAGGCCCUGCUUUUGUGGGGUGCUCGAGUGGCGAACGGGUGAGUAACACGUGAGUAACCUGCCCUUGACUUUGGGAUAACUUCAGGAAACUGGGGCUAAUACCGGAUAGGAGCUCCUGCUGCAUGGUGGGGGUUGGAAAGUUUCGGCGGUUGGGGAUGGACUCGCGGCUUAUCAGCUUGUUGGUGGGGUAGUGGCUUACCAAGGCUUUGACGGGUAGCCGGCCUGAGAGGGUGACCGGCCACAUUGGGACUGAGAUACGGCCCAGACUCCUACGGGAGGCAGCAGUGGGGAAUAUUGCACAAUGGGCGCAAGCCUGAUGCAGCAACGCCGCGUGCGGGAUGACGGCCUUCGGGUUGUAAACCGCUUUCGCCUGUGACGAAGCGUGAGUGACGGUAAUGGGUAAAGAAGCACCGGCUAACUACGUGCCAGCAGCCGCGGUGAUACGUAGGGUGCGAGCGUUGUCCGGAUUUAUUGGGCGUAAAGGGCUCGUAGGUGGUUGAUCGCGUCGGAAGUGUAAUCUUGGGGCUUAACCCUGAGCGUGCUUUCGAUACGGGUUGACUUGAGGAAGGUAGGGGAGAAUGGAAUUCCUGGUGGAGCGGUGGAAUGCGCAGAUAUCAGGAGGAACACCAGUGGCGAAGGCGGUUCUCUGGACCUUUCCUGACGCUGAGGAGCGAAAGCGUGGGGAGCGAACAGGCUUAGAUACCCUGGUAGUCCACGCUGUAAACGAUGUCUACUAGCCGUCGGGGUCCUUAGUGACUUUGGUGGCGCAGCUAACGCGAUAAGUAGACCGCCUGGGGAGUACGGCCGCAAGGUUAAAACUCAAAUGAAUUGACGGGGGCCCGCACAAGCGGUGGAGCAUGUGGUUUAAUUCGACGCAACGCGAAGAACCUUACCUGGCCUUGACAUGCAGAGAACUUUCCAGAGAUGGAUUGGUGCCUUCGGGAACUCUGACACAGGUGCUGCAUGGCCGUCGUCAGCUCGUGCCGUGAGGUGUUGGGUUAAGUCCCGCAACGAGCGCAACCCCUACAUUUAGUUGCCAGCGGAUCAAGCCGGGGACUCUAGAUGGACUGCCUGCGCAAGCAGUGAGGAAGGCGGGGACGACGUCAGGUCAUCAUGGCCCUUACGCCUAGGGCUACACACGUGCUACAAUGGACGGUACAGAGGGUCGCUACACGGCAACGUGAUGCCAAUCUCAGAAAGCCGUUCUCAGUUCGGAUCGAAGUCUGCAACUCGACUUCGUGAAGCUGGAAUCACUAGUAAUCGCGUAUCAGCCAUGACGCGGUGAAUACGUUCCCGGGCCUUGUACACACCGCCCGUCACACCAUG
This 1389-nucleotide ribosomal RNA is filed under the name Picocystis salinarum. Its description in RNAcentral is "partial Bacterial small subunit ribosomal RNA". It matches the Rfam family "Bacterial small subunit ribosomal RNA". The record is from RNAcentral. Lineage: Eukaryota; Viridiplantae; Chlorophyta; Picocystophyceae; Picocystales; Picocystaceae.